GUGCCCGGGCUGUGCGCGGGCACCCAGUGGGCCCCGCGGCCCGGCGAGAGGGGCGCGAUGGUGUCCGGGGCAGUUGUGUGUUUGCACUCCUCCGGGCGGUGCUGGCGGUGCUCCUUCUGGCGGGGUCGCUCCAGGGUCGGCGCAGAGGCUGCGUGGAAGGCAGAGGGGGCAAAAUCAGCUGGCAACCCGAGGGUUCAGGCUGUCGACAUGUAGGUCAUGGCUGUGACCUGGUUAAUAGUGGCCAAAUACCCGAGGACAGCUGUGCUGGUGACGCACUGGCCCCAGAUCAGCAUGUGGCCUUUAUUUACUGUCACUAGAGCUGACCUAAGAAGGGGCUGACACAGUGCUCUCAGGGACAGCUCAUCUCCCAGGGUCACAGUCGCUCUGGGAAAAGCCCCCUCACCUUUCCCCUUUGCUGGAGAAGGAGCUUGGAUCUCCAGCGCUGCCUGGCCUUUUCCCAAUAUGCCAAGCCCACUUCACUGAAGCUUGGUUUGCCUGCAAGUUGCAGAUGAGUCACAGAAGUGAAAAUAUCACACAAAUUUGUUAAACCAUGAAGCGUGCAGGAUAGCUUUUGUUUUGUUCCACUUUCAUCCUGAAGCCACUGAUCAGUGACAAGAAGGAACCUUAGAAUUAACCCUUUGCAAUAAAAUCUGGAUCAGGAAGUCCUCUGCAGCAGGUAGUUAUUGCAGUUUCUAACAUGGGUCCAGAAGAGUGGAAUGAAUGAAGCCUGAAUUCCUGUCCAUUUGUCUCCUAAUAGCUCUUCGUUGCAAUCAGCUGUCUCUCGCUUCAUGUUUCUUAUGUCCUCACCCCUGCAGGAGACACAACGUGCUGUGCUUAGGUCAGAGCUGUGUUCCUGGCCAGCCAGCAUGUGUAAUAUCUCACCAUGUUGCUGACAUCUAACAGAAGUGCUGGAGACCCAAUAGGAUGCCCUGGGAUGAGUGUCCUCUCCUGACCAGCCACAACAUGUGGGAUGACUACUGCCUCAGCUGACUACUGCAGCAGUUCUUGUGGAAGAGCAUGUGGCAUCCUCCAUGCGAACUGCAGAUGCAGAGGAAAAUAAAGAGGAAAGGUAUCAGGACUGCUGCCACUGUGCCAUGGCUGCCUUUACUGUGAACAGUCCUGCUCUGGAGAAGAUCAUCUGGGAAAAAGUGGACACCUUGUGAAAAGUCAGGGAAAAAGUUAAUGUUACCAAAAGAAUACAUCUUUUAAGGCUGAAAUAUGUUUCAUCUGAACUGUUACAUUUUUCCGUAGGAAUAUGGAAACUAGGUUAGUGGAACAGGACAUUUCAAAUUAAAAGUUUUGGAUUAAACCUUUUAGGGAACACCACCCCAAGAAGGAGUUCUAGCUUCACCUGUAACCUUUACAUGGGCCAGGGGCUUUGAACUGGUACACAUACUGCUUUUGUUUUCCACAGCAGAUCACCAGGUGAAGAGGAGAUGUUUUUUGCUAAGUUUUCUAUCAGGUGUGCUUGAUACUGUUGACUAUUGAUACUGUUGAUAUUGUAGCAGGACAAUUGCUAAAGUGGAUGUGGUGGCUUGAGUUUCUGCUCCAAACUGGAGCCUGAAACUGUUACUCCAGGUUAUGUUGUCUGAGGUUGAUCUUAGAAAGCAUUCCCAGUUGUUCCCUGUCAGCAUUUCCUCCGUCAGAUUUGAAAGUGUUUGUUUUCUUUUAGUGUCCAUAUCAUAUGAACUUGAAUGAGAAGUUUAGUCUAGGAAGUAGUAAGCCAAGACAUCAUCUAGCAAAGGGCUCUCUAUGGCAUUACCUGGCCACUCUUUCAAAAGGCUCACGGUACCUCUGGAGUGCAGCUUCUCAGUACUUUGGAUUACCCAAGGGAAGUUUGGUUUUUUUUUCACAGCAUCCUGAUUCUUAUCGCUGAAGUGUGAAUUCAGAUACUAAUCGGUUGUUCUCAUAAAGACUGAGUUUCCAUAACAUACUCUACAGGAGUUGUCUACACAGAAGGUCUAUGGAGUUUUCUUAUUUGAUGAAAUGUGUAGCCACAGGCUAAGGUGUGAUAACUGCAAUUAAAUAUGAAAAUGUCGCUUGUGUAUUAAUAUUCCUGAUAAAGAGCCAGUACAAUAAAAAAAAAUGUUGCACUGCACAAUUAAAAUGCUUUGCCUUUGGGUUCGAGUAAAUGCAAAAUAUUUUUGUUCCAUGACUAACAGGUAAUGGGUAAACUGCCAAUGCAACAUUGCUGGAACAUUAACAACAGUUUAGACAAGGGAACUCUCCUUCUCUCCAUUUAUUGUGGAAAAAUCUUGUGGUAUAUUAGACAAAAUCCACAGUUUUUCUAUGUAGCAUUAAGUGGGGUUUUUUGUUGGGUUUUUUUGUUUGUUUUGUUUUGUUUUGUUUUUUGUUUGUUUGGUUGGUUGGUUAGU
Hirundo rustica (Barn swallow) is the source of this 2375-nucleotide long non-coding RNA. RefSeq lists it as uncharacterized. The transcript has 5 exons. NCBI's taxonomy places the organism in Eukaryota, Metazoa, Chordata, Aves, Passeriformes, Hirundinidae. The record is from RefSeq and is a predicted model, not a curated record.